CUCAUGCCUCCAUAAAUAGAGCAAAAUCUUACUGUAUUCAAGCCUGAAGCUGUAACUCUGCAUGCUGUUUGCCUCAGAAAAACAAGCAGUCUGCUGACAUCAGCAGAAGUGGUGGCCUGAUCCAAUCACAAUGCUUCUCCAUAGGUUUGGCUGAGACUGACAAGGAGGCAGAUCAGGGGUAGAGCCAGCAUGGUUCAAACACAGCCCUGGCCAAUCAGCAUCUUCUCAUAGAGAUGAAUUGAAUCAAUGAAUCUCUAUGAGGAAAGUUCAGUGUCUGCAUGCACAGGGAGGAGAUACUGAAUGUUUGGAUGCAUUUUAGGCAGCCAUGAUCCAGGAAGAAUCUCUAACAGCCAUCUAAGGAGUGGCCAGUGAAAUUAUCACUAGGCUGUAAUGUUAACACUGCAUUUUCUCUGAAAAGACAGUAUUUACAGCAAAAAGCCUGACGGUAAUGACUCUACUCACCAGAACAAAUUCAAUAAGCUUUAGUUGUUCUGGUGACUAUAGUGUCCCUUUAAAUAGGAAGUGGUUCCCUUCUUUAAAUUGUUCAUUUAAU
This is a non-coding RNA of Pelobates cultripes (western spadefoot toad), 553 nucleotides long. The record is from the annotation of a GenBank genome assembly. NCBI's taxonomy places the organism in Eukaryota, Metazoa, Chordata, Amphibia, Anura, Pelobatidae.